RNAcentral lists this ribosomal RNA (229 nucleotides) under uncultured bacterium. Its description in RNAcentral is "partial 16S ribosomal RNA". It matches the Rfam family "Bacterial small subunit ribosomal RNA", at positions 568 to 796 of the family's 1533-position model. The record is from RNAcentral.
UACGUAGGCGGUCUCUUAAGUCAGAUGUGAAAGCCCGGGGCUUAACCUCGGAAGUGCAUUUGAAACUAAGGGACUUGAGUAUGGGAGAGGGAAGUGGAAUUCCUGGUGUAGCGGUGAAAUGCGUAGAUAUCAGGAGGAACACCGGUGGCGAAGGCGACUUCCUGGACCAAUACUGACGCUGAGGCGCGAAGGCGUGGGGAGCAAACAGGAUUAGAUACCCUGGUAGUCC